This 1335-nucleotide ribosomal RNA is filed under the name Triticum aestivum (bread wheat). RNAcentral's name for it is "partial small subunit ribosomal RNA". Lineage: Eukaryota; Viridiplantae; Streptophyta; Magnoliopsida; Poales; Poaceae. The record is from RNAcentral.
AUGGGUAGGAAAUCGACCCUUAAUUUUGCUCCGUCCGCGGCGGCGGCGGCGGCAGGAAGGAAGCGAAAAGGAUCCACCUUUGCCCCGCUGCCCGCGUGCAAGCGCAGAGCACCGGCGCAGCCAGCCGGCGGCUGGGCGUCCCUGCCCACGGACAUAGUAGGCCUCGUCACCCGCCGGCUUCUGGGCGAGGGCGACGGCGACGUGGUCGACUACAUCUGCUUCCGCGCCGUCUGCUCCUACUGGCGCGCCUGCACGCCCGCGCCUCGCGACUCCGACCUGCGGGACCCUCGCCUCCGCCCGCGCGGCUGGGUCGCGCUCUGCGACGGCGACGCCGUCCGCCCGGACGACGCCUGCGAGAUCGCCUUCUUCCACACGCGCACGGCCAGGCGCCUCCGCGUCCCCCUGCCGGAGCUCCGGCGGCACAGGGUCGUCGGCUUCACCGACGGCCUCGUCGUCCUCUUGCACGAGCGCACCAUCGCGGUCCGCGUGCUGCACCCGUUCACGUGCGACGCCGUCGACUUCCCGCCCCUCCUCACCAUGUACCUCCAGGUGGUCAGGCAGAAGGCGUCCCUGCUCGACAUGAACGCCGCGGUGUGCAGCAGCGCGUCCUCCUCCUCCGCAGACUCCUCCAUCGCCGUGGUGGUCUGGUUCCCCUACACGGACGUGGUGCUCGCCGCCGACCCGGGCUCGUCGGAUUGGGAGGUCCUCCACCGAGGGUUCUACGUCGGGUGCGCCCUGCCCUUCCAAGGAAGGCUCUACGCCACCAUGUCGUGCUCGAGCGAGAUCGUGCAGUUAUACCCUCCGAGACGCAAAGCUGUACCGCUGGAGAACCAUGUCGUGAUUGCUCACGCUCCACAUUCCGCCGACCGCGAAGUCUGUACUUUUUACCUCGCGGAGCUCUACGUGGUGGAUCUAAACGGCAGCCAACGCCGUAAGCUUAUCCCGGUGAAGAACAUAGGUGACACCGCGCUGUUUCUCAGCGGCGACCGAUGCCUGUCUGUUUCAGCCAGGGAUCUACCUUCUUUGAGCAGCAACUCCAUUUACUUCACUCUACCACAGUACCCCAUUCUGGUGCUUUCGCUGGGGACUGGUUUGUCCGAGCGACUGGCAGACUCCUGCCAGAUACACGACGGGAAGGAGAGGAUCCGCCCCUCUGUGCGCCCCUUCACCAUUGUUGAUCAUCUUAUCACCUACUGCAAUCCUCGCGAGUGGAGUAAAGGGCUCAUGUUCCACGAGUACCACUAUAUACCUCGAUCUUUCGAGGAACUGAUCAAGAAAAUAAGGGCUCAAGAAAGGGAACUGCGGCUUCCACGCAUCGCUUUUCAUUCGCGCUGA